This 250-nucleotide ribosomal RNA is filed under the name Staphylococcus pseudintermedius. RNAcentral's name for it is "partial 23S ribosomal RNA". It matches the Rfam family "Bacterial large subunit ribosomal RNA", at positions 2673 to 2925 of the family's 2925-position model. Lineage: Bacteria; Bacillati; Bacillota; Bacilli; Caryophanales; Staphylococcaceae. The record is from RNAcentral.
UGUCCUUAGUACGAGAGGACCGGGAUGGACAUACCUCUGGUGUACCAGUUGUCGUGCCAACGGCAUAGCUGGGUAGCUAUGUAUGGACGGGAUAAGUGCUGAAAGCAUCUAAGCAUGAAGCCCCCCUCGAGAUGAGAUUUCCCAACUUCGGUUAUAAGAUCCCUCAAAGACGAUGAGGUGAAUAGGUUCGAGGUGGAAGCGUAGCGAUACGUGGAGCUGACGAAUACUAAUCGAUCGAAGACUUAAUCAA